RNAcentral lists this long non-coding RNA (1136 nucleotides) under Homo sapiens (human). RNAcentral's name for it is "HSALNT0343832". Lineage: Eukaryota; Metazoa; Chordata; Mammalia; Primates; Hominidae. The record is from RNAcentral.
GAGCCGGACAGGAUUCUCAAGUCGUGGGUAUGAACAUGCUGCUCUACAUGAAGCAUGGGUCUGCCAGAAAAUAAAGAUGGGGAGGAGCAUAGGACGAAAGAAAAGGUUGUUAGAGGCUCAUCUCCAACCUCAUUGCUUGGCAAAAGGAGUUAGAGUCUGCAGAGAAGCCGCAGUGCGGCAGGGAGUCUAGGAUCCCAAAUAACAGAUCUGGGAGAAUCCUGCCUCAGUACUUGGAUGCGCCUCCUGCCCAUGAGCCUGGUGAGCACAGAUCUGUUGGCAGUAACCGGCUGUGGGUAAUCACCCCCAACUGCUUCUUGGGCAGAGAUGGUUGGAGGGUUGUGAGUUAGGGAGACAGAAUGAAGGCCUUUUUUCGAAAACCAGCAACAGAGACAUAGGCCAUUAGAUGCAGGAUGGCUGCUAAGACAGGUAAGAGAAGACUUUAGUCACUCCUGAACUCUCAUAACCAGUUCACACUGCUCCUGCUCAUCCAUGCAUACCAGACCUGAAUGAAAUACCACAUGCAGGUCCAAGGACACUGCGGAGACAGGCACCCUUUCUGCAAGAGGGAACUGCAGACAGAAACACACAAAGAGAUGCUUUCCCACAGAGUUUACUCGUGUUAGCAGACAUGCCCACAUGGAUGCUGUCUCACAUACAGCAGACACCAUCUCUUACACACUUCCUGAUGGUCCAAGCCAGAUGACAAGGGACUAGGGAGUGGUACGGAGGUCGCUUGAAGGUGAGUAAGGAAAGAUUCAAGUAGGCAGGUGACCCUGCUCACCCCACCUUGAACCCAUUGACGUGAGAUCCAAAGAAUGAUGCUUGAAUGGAAAAAACCAUCACUAAUCUCCUCCCUCCUGGCUAUUUUGGGGGAGCAGCCUCUUGGUUUCCUGGCAAAAAGAGAAGCCAUCUCCAGCUCUGUGGGAAUGAAUGGGGAGGGCGGCUGGGGUGAGAAUUGCCUCCCGGGCAGGCUUGAGUGGAAAUAACUGAGUUGUUUCCAUUACUUCCAUUUCCUUGCCACCACCACCCGCCUGACCUCCGCAGUGUUAAAAGAGAUAAAUUCUUGCAGAAAACAGGGAAUCCCUUAAAUAUUUUUUCUUAUUACAAAGUAGAAAAUAUAGAAAAAUACAAAACCC